This 254-nucleotide ribosomal RNA is filed under the name uncultured bacterium. Its description in RNAcentral is "partial 16S ribosomal RNA". It matches the Rfam family "Bacterial small subunit ribosomal RNA", at positions 524 to 776 of the family's 1533-position model. The record is from RNAcentral.
CACGUAGGGUGCGAGCGUUGUCCGGAAUUAUUGGGCGUAAAGAGCUCGUAGGCGGUGUGUCGCGUCGGCCGUGAAAACCUGCAGCUUAACUGUGGGCUUGCGGUCGAUACGGGCAUCACUGGAGUUCGGCAGGGGAGACUGGAAUUCCUGGUGUAGCGGUGAAAUGCGCAGAUAUCAGGAGGAACACCGGUGGCGAAGGCGGCUCACUGGACCGGUACUGACGCUGAUGCGCGAAAGCGUGGGGAGCAAACGGG